Molecule: long non-coding RNA, 972 nt
Organism: Oreochromis niloticus (Nile tilapia)
Lineage: Eukaryota; Metazoa; Chordata; Actinopteri; Cichliformes; Cichlidae
Exons: 3
Source: RefSeq, a predicted model, not a curated record
CAAACUCUUAAAACAUCACAGGCUCUAAUGCAACAAGGGGAAACUCGUUGGCUGCGGUCAACAAAAACUACAGCUACCCAACCCUGCUCUCUGUCAAAAUCAAACCAGUGAAAGACAGACUGACAACGUCCUCUUAAUGUCGCCGCUAGCACCCACGUGACUCCCGUUACACAUCACCAUAGCAACCAAACAAAUGAAAACCCAGUGAUCAUUAAAAUUCAAUACAUUUAAUUAUGGCUCCUACAAGGAGAAACGAGCAAAAGAUACAGAUAUCACACUCAAGGAGAUUACACGGAUACUGGACUCUUCAGCCUGACCUCCAUGUAAGCCACUUGAUACAAUGGCAUUAAAAAUGGAGGAAAUGAGCAUGGUGGGAUUUUUUUUCUUCAGCGAUGUGGAAAUGGAAAAAAGCCCCAUCAAUUUUCAAAAUAAAGUUUUCCUGCAACACUUUGUAUUUGGUGACGGAUGAUUGGGAUCCAGAGAAGAAGAAAAAAAGAAGAAGAAACUAGUAUGAGACCAAAACCAGUAAAUGACACAUACAACAAAUUACACAAAAUGGAAAAAAGUUUCAUGUGACAGAAGUAAACUGCUCUCAGUCAUCACCCUUUGAACAACAUUUAGUUGGAUUUUAUUUUCAGACAAUAAUGAGACUUAUACAAAGAUUUAAAAGUAUUAUGCAUGUAAUAAUAUUUAUGCAUCUUAUAUUUAUUUCAUUAUCCUGCUUUUAUUCUGUUGUUUUAGCAGAUAAUCUUAUGAUCUACUGAAUUGCUUUAAUAUGCACUCACCAGACACUUUAUUAGGUACACCUUACUACUCAUUUCUUCAUGGUUCAGCGAGCUGCUGGAGAUAUUCCUCAGAGAUUUUGGUUCAUAUCGUCGCGACAGACACAGCUGCUGCAGAUUUGUUGGCUGCACUUCCAUGAUGUGACUCUCCUGUUCCACCACAUCCCUAGUGUGCUUUGUUGGAUUGACA